GUCGUGCGGUAACAGGCGUAGCAGUACGUGCUGACGAGCGGCGAACGGGUGCGUAAUACAUGGGAAUCUGCCUUUUAGUGGGGAAUAACCCGGCGAAAGCCGGGCUAAUGCCGCAUAAGAUCUUCGGAUGAAAGCGGGGGAUCGUAAGACCUCGCGCUGAUAGAUGAGCCCAUGCCGGAUUAGCUAGUUGGUGAGGUAACGGCUCACCAAGGCGACGAUCCGUAGCUGGUCUGAGAGGACGGCCAGCCACACUGGGACUGAGACACGGCCCAAACUCCUACGGGAGGCAGCAGUGGGGAAUAUUGGACAAUGGGGGAAACCCUGAUCCAGCGACGCCGCGUGUGUGAAGAAGGCCUGCGGGUUGUAAAGCACUUUCGAUGGGAACGAAAUAUGCCGGGCUAAUAUCCCGGUAGGCUGACGUUACUCAAUGAAGAAGCACCGGCUAACUCUGUGCCAGCAGCCGCGGUAAUACAGAGGGUGCGAGCGUUAAUCGGAAUUACUGGGCGUAAAGCGCACGUAGGUGGCGACGUAAGUCGGGUGUGAAAGCCCCGGGCUCAACCUGGGAACUGCAUUCGAGACUGUGUUGCUGGAGUACGGAAGAGGAGGGCGGAAUUCCCGGUGUAGCGGUGAAAUGCGUAGAUAUCGGGAGGAACAUCAGUGGCGAAGGCGGCCCUCUGGUCCAGUACUGACACUCAAGUGCGAAAGCGUGCGGAGCAGACAGGAUUAGAUACCCUGGUAGUCCACGCCCU
This 749-nucleotide ribosomal RNA is filed under the name uncultured microorganism. RNAcentral describes it as "bacterial SSU rRNA". It matches the Rfam family "Bacterial small subunit ribosomal RNA", at positions 61 to 803 of the family's 1533-position model. The record is from RNAcentral.